RNAcentral lists this ribosomal RNA (368 nucleotides) under uncultured organism. Its description in RNAcentral is "bacterial SSU rRNA". It matches the Rfam family "Bacterial small subunit ribosomal RNA", at positions 527 to 896 of the family's 1533-position model. The record is from RNAcentral.
CGAAGGGGCUAGCGUUGUUCGGAAUUACUGGGCGUAAAGCGCGCGCAGGUGGUCUUUCAAGUCAGUGGUGAAAGCCCGGAGCUCAACUCCGGAAAUGCCAUUGAAACUGUAAGACUUGAGGAUGAGAGAGGUGAGUGGAAUUCCCAGUGUAGAGGUGAAAUUCGUAGAUAUUGGGAAGAACACCGGUGGCGAAGGCGGCUCACUGGCUCAUAUCUGACGCUCAGGCGCGACAGCGUGGGGAUCAAACAGGAUUAGAUACCCUGGUAGUCCACGCCGUAAACGAUGAAUGCUAGCCGUUGGGCAGCUUGCUGUUCAGUGGCGCAGCUAACGCAUUAAGCAUUCCGCCUGGGGAUACGGCCGCAAGGUUG